Molecule: ribosomal RNA, 440 nt
Filed under: uncultured bacterium
Lineage: Bacteria
Description: bacterial SSU rRNA
Rfam family: Bacterial small subunit ribosomal RNA
Source: RNAcentral
CCUACGGGUGGCAGCAGUAAGGAAUAUUGGUCAAUGGACGCAAGUCUGAACCAGCCAUGCCGCGUGCAGGAAGACGGCCCUACGGGUUGUAAACUGCUUUUAUACGGGAAUAAACCUUGAUACGUGUAUCAAGCUGAAUGUACUGUAAGAAUAAGGAUCGGCUAACUCCGUGCCAGCAGCCGCGGUAAUACGGAGGAUCCAAGCGUUAUCCGGAUUUAUUGGGUUUAAAGGGUGCGUAGGUGGCCUGGUAAGUCAUGGGUGAAAGACGGUAGCUUAACUAUCGCAGUGCCUUUGAUACUGCCGGGCUUGAAUAAACUAGAGGUAGGCGGAAUGUGACAAGUAGCGGUGAAAUGCAUAGAUAUGUCACAGAACACCGAUUGCGAAGGCAGCUUACUAUGGUUUUAUUGACACUGAGGCACGAAAGCGUGGGGAUCAAACAG